Molecule: ribosomal RNA, 301 nt
Filed under: uncultured bacterium
Lineage: Bacteria
Description: partial 16S ribosomal RNA
Rfam family: Bacterial small subunit ribosomal RNA
Source: RNAcentral
CAGUAGCCGCGGGAAUACGUAGGUCCCGAGCGUUGUCCGGAUUUAUUGGGCGUAAAGCGAGCGCAGGCGGUUAGAUAAGUCUGAAGUUAAAGGCUGUGGCUUAACCAUAGUACGCUUUGGAAACUGUUUAACUUGAGUGCAGAAGGGGAGAGUGGAAUUCCAUGUGUAGCGGUGAAAUGCGUAGAUAUAUGGAGGAACACCGGUGGCGAAAGCGGCUCUCUGGCUUGUAACUGACGCUGAGGCUCGAAAGCGUGGGGAGCAAACAGGAUUAGAUACCCCUGUAGUCCCUGUCUCUUAUACA